UUUUUUUAAGGGGGGGGGGGAAGCGGCAACAGCUCAGAUUUGAAAUCUGGCCCUUAUGGGGUCCGAAUUGUAAUCUGUAGAGGAUGCUUUUGGCGACGCGCCUUCCGAGUCCCCUGGAACGGGGCGCCAGAGAGGGUGAGAGCCCCGUAUGGUUGGACGCCGAACCUCUGUAAAGCUCCUUCGACGAGUCGAGUAGUUUGGGAAUGCUGCUCAAAAUGGGAGGUAAAUUUCUUCUAAAGCUAAAUACCGGCCAGAGACCGAUAGCGCACAAGUAGAGUGAUCGAAAGAUGAAAAGCACUUUGAAAAGAGGGUCAAAUAGCACGUGAAAUUGCUGAAAGGGAAGCGCUUGUGACCAGACUUGCGCCCGGUUGAUCAUCCAGCGUUCUCGCUGGUGCACUCUGCCGGGCUCAGGCCAGCAUCGGCUCUCCCAGGGGGAUAAAGGUCGCGGGAACGUAGCUCUCUCCGGGGAGUGUUAUAGCCCGUGGCGGAAUGCCCUUAGGGGGGGCCGAGGCCCGCGUUCGCAAGGAUGCUGGCGUAAUGGUCACCAGCGACCCGUCUUGAACCGGCCCAAGGGAGAAAAAAAGCCGGA
Molecule: ribosomal RNA, 589 nt
Filed under: Distoseptispora nabanheensis
Lineage: Eukaryota; Fungi; Ascomycota; Sordariomycetes; Distoseptisporaceae
Description: Distoseptispora sp. JL-2022b partial large subunit ribosomal RNA
Rfam family: Eukaryotic large subunit ribosomal RNA
Source: RNAcentral